AUUUCACUCUUAUAACCUACAGAGUUGGGCAAAUAGAUGAAUCCAAAAAUAGGGAAAUUCUCACAAGGCAAAUCACCUCCAGAGAAGGAAAAUCUCAAAAAGAUCAUAUCUUCUGGAAGACCUUACAGUACCAUAAACUGGAGAAAAGGAGAUUUGUAUUGAAUAGGUACCAAAGGGCUCUCCUGACAAGUGACCUCUAUGCAGAAAACUCAAGGUCUGAAACCACAAUUGACGCUUUAUAUAUGCAUAUAUCCAACAUUACUUCUUUAUUAACAAUUCCAUGAGACAAGGGGAGAAAAAUAAAAGCGGUGUUGCACUCUCAGAAUCAACAUUUAUUUUGAAUUUCACGAGCAAGAAAGUCUAAUUAGCUUUGAUUUUCAUAA
This is a non-coding RNA of Carica papaya (papaya), 383 nucleotides long. The record is from RefSeq and is a predicted model, not a curated record. NCBI's taxonomy places the organism in Eukaryota, Viridiplantae, Streptophyta, Magnoliopsida, Brassicales, Caricaceae.